Molecule: ribosomal RNA, 460 nt
Filed under: uncultured bacterium
Lineage: Bacteria
Description: partial 16S ribosomal RNA
Rfam family: Bacterial small subunit ribosomal RNA
Source: RNAcentral
CCUACGGGGGGCAGCAGUGAGGAAUAUUGGUCAAUGGGCGUAAGCCUGAACCAGCCAAGUCGCGUGAGGGAUGAAGGUUCUAUGGAUCGUAAACCUCUUUUAUAAGGGAAUAAAGUGCGGGACGUGUCCCGUUUUGUAUGUACCUUAUGAAUAAGGAUCGGCUAACUCCGUGCCAGCAGCCGCGGUAAUACGGAGGAUCCGAGCGUUUACCGGAUUUCUUGGGUUUAAAGGGUGCGUAGGCGGCCUUUUAAGUCAGCGGUGAAAGUUUGUGGCUCAACCAUAGAAUUGCCGUUGAAACUGGGAGUCUUGAGUAUGUUUGAGGCAGGCGGAAUGCGUGGUGUAGCGGUGAAAUGCUUAGAUAUCACGCAGAACCCCGAUUGCGAAGGCAGCCUGCCAAGCCAUGACUGACGCUGAUGCACGAAAGCGUGGGGAUCAAACAGGAUUAGAUACCCCAGUAGUC